GUGCAGCAGGCGCGAAUACUUUACAAUGUGCGAAAGCACGAUAAGGGAACUCUGAGUGCCUCCUAAGGAGGCUGUUCAGGUGUCUAAAAGCACCUGAAGGAAGGGCUGGGUAAGACCGGUGCCAGCCGCCGCGGUAACACCGGCAGCCCAAGUGGUAGCCACGUUUAUUGGGUCUAAAGCGUCCGUAGCCGGCUGGGUAAGUUCCUUGGGAAAUUUGGCUGCUUAACAGUCAAGCUUUCAGGGAAUACUGCCCGGCUUGGGACCGGGAGAGGUCAGAGGUACUCCAGGGGUAGGGGUGAAAUCCAUUAAAUCCUUGGGGGACCACCGGUAGCGAAGGCGUCUGACCAGACCGGGUCGACGGUGAGGGACGAAGGCUAGGGGGCGCGAACCGGAUUAGAUA
RNAcentral lists this ribosomal RNA (400 nucleotides) under uncultured microorganism. RNAcentral describes it as "bacterial SSU rRNA". It matches the Rfam family "Archaeal small subunit ribosomal RNA", at positions 330 to 735 of the family's 1478-position model. The record is from RNAcentral.